Molecule: long non-coding RNA, 2709 nt
Organism: Panicum virgatum (switchgrass)
Lineage: Eukaryota; Viridiplantae; Streptophyta; Magnoliopsida; Poales; Poaceae
Exons: 6
Source: RefSeq, a predicted model, not a curated record
GCCAUCCCCAUAUCCUCAAGUCGUCAGCUUCUAGAUCCAAACUUAAAAACCUUUGUUUUCCAUCAGCAAACUUCCUAGCCUCAAGGAUGUCUCCCAAGAAGGCGGCGAGCAAGUCGAAGGAGGCCCAAGCUGAUCCAUUGGAAUCAGCGGAGCAAAAGGCGUGGAGACCGAGUAAGUGCACUGACUUCCACCUUCAUGGACUUGUGAAAGAGGGGCUGCUGCAACCACGCGAUAAGAUGCAGUGGCGGAGGGCCAUAGGAGAUGUUUCACCCCGGGAGGAAUCCCAAGAAAUUGUUACUUUCCAUUCCUUUGUUCCUUGCGGAUUUGCGAUUCCUGCAUCUAAUUUCUUCUGCGGUCUUCUGCAUUACUAGGGGAUUCAGGUACACCACCUGACCCCAAAUUCCAUUCUUCACAUCUCUAUCUUUGUCCAUUUGUGUGAAGCAUAUCUGGGGAUUGAGCCCCACUUUGAUAUAUUCCGUUAUCUUUUCCACUUGAAACCUCAACCCAAUAGUUCUUCAGUAGAUAUCAUAGGCGGGGCCGGGGUGCAGUUGCGCCAGGGAGUAGGAAAAAAGUAUAUCCCUUACAAAUUAACCGGGAAGGUAAUCGACUAGAAAGAUUUUUGGUUCUAUGUCGAAAACCAAACGCCGGCCCUCCCUACUAGAACUCCCGGACCCCCGAUUCCAAGGGCAAGUUGGAAUGCAAAGGUAGAUGAUCUUGUUCAAGUUAAUCAACUGCUGGACAUAAUCGACCAAUUGAAGAAAAAGAAGAUUACUGGAGCUUCAGUAGUUUAUAAUUGGGCGAUGAGGAGGAUUCAGCCUCUGCAUAAGCGAGCAAAUCUUGGAUUCGAUUAUUCUGGCAAAAGUGAUCCUUCCCGAUUCAAUUUCGCAAAAAAUCUCUGAGACUGACGCUCGACAUCUUGUAAGUCGAGUACUUGAUGAAGUAGAAACGAGACCAGUUCUGGGAGAAGACUUUCGACACGGCAGUCAACCUUGAGAGGUAGAGUAAAGUAGUCGAUUCGAUUGAAUAACGAGUACUUUAUCUCUUGUAGGUCUUUUAAUUCCAAACUUAAUGUGCAGAUUAACCGUAGUAGUUAUUAAAAAAAGCCUCCUCUGCCUGAAGUUGUGCCUGCUGCACAAGCUAACCCAAGUCUGCAUCAUACCCUUUCUUGUAUGUUUGAAUAAUUCUCACAAGUAGCUGCUAACAAAGGUGUUUGCUUUGAAUUGUUAUCAGAUCCAUCGGGAGGAGAAGGUGAUGGCACUGAGCAGGUACCACCUGUUCAGGAGGAUGCCCUUCCGCUCAGUCCUACUCCUACCGCGAGUGCAGCAGAGACGCACAAGCGGAAGGCAACCGCUACCGAAGAGGACAACAGCCCCCGGCCAGAGAAGCGUGUGCGAGAAGCAUCGCCGCCUCCCGCAGCUAGUCCUAUUCCGGCGAGGCCACCGUCACCAGUGAGUACUAGUUGUGCAGCCGCCCAACAAGUGGAUAUGCUAGCUAAGCCCAAGGCCAAGGCGUCGGGUGCUGCAGGGGCGAUUGUACCCCUGAAAGUGCUGAGGCCCAAGAAGCUCCCGAUAAAGAAGUCGACCAGCAAAGCAGUCGAUUUGGGUUUGGGGGGUAUUAAGGCAACUGUAUCUAUCCCAGCCCCCGGGCCUAAAACUUCAGAAGCUUUGUCUAGAGCUACUUCAAGUCGGCCUGCAACAUCCACAGAGGUGGCUUUCGAGGCUGAAUCAGCGAAGCAGAAGGAAGUGGAGGUCGCUGCUCCAGGCAUGGAUUCCGCCGCAUCAGGGGAAGACAAAACUAUGAGCCUUAUUCUCCAUGAUGCCAGUGUGCUUCCGCUAAGCGAGCAGGUCAUUCCUGAGAGAUAACAAGAAUUGCCAAAGCUGCUGGUGAAAGAGGCUACAUUGUAUAAAGAAGAACUGCUCAAGUGCCAAAAGUUCUUAAGUGAAUUUGCCGAACAAGCUGCCACUAGAGCUAAAGGACUCGUCCAAGCUGGAGAAGAUCGGCAAUUUGCUACUAAUCAAGGGCGUCAACUACAAAAGAUUACAGAUCUUCAAGGAGAGCUGGAGAAGCUGAAGACAGAAACUCCAUGCAGAUUGGUCGCCUGCAGGAAAAGAACAAGACUUUGCAGGAAAAGAACAAGACUUUGCAGGAGAAGAGCAAAAAAUUGACGAAGGACCACAAAGAUGAGAUGGAGAAAUUGUCCAAGAUCUAGGCAGACAGCGACAAGCAGCUUGUUGAUUGUAUGCAAAAAAUCAAGGACUUGGCGGCUGAAAGGGAUGCCCAAGCCAAGGAACUAGCCGAUCUCAAGAUGGCGGCGCAAGCGGUAGUGGAUAUGGUGGAUCCGGUCGAGGAUGGAGCUGCUGGAGAAAAAUCUUUAAUGGAGCGACUACUUGGCGCCCCCAGAUGAUUACCAGCUACUUAUCCGAAACAUCCAAGCAGUACAUGGCGCACAUCUUGGGAUUGGUGAAGUCUUAUUGGCCGGCGGCAGAUCUGGCUCCACUCAGCGAUGGAUUAGCAGCAGGGUAUUCAGAGGAGCAAUUAGCUCAAUAUGUUGAAGAUCUAAAGCCCGUAGGUGAUAAGAUUGUAGAAAGCCUAGAACAGCCAGCAGAGGAUGAUGCUUGAACUUUGUCUUUGUCCGUUGUGGUACUUUUGUUACUGUGGUCCGCUACUGACUGUAUGACGCACUUUUACUUUGAUGUAUACCUUUUAUGU